GACGAACGCUGGCGGCGUGCCUAAUACAUGCAAGUCGAGCGGAGUCUUACACUUUCUUCGGAAAGUGUCUGGCUUAGCGGCGGACGGGUGAGUAACACGUGGGUAACCUGCCUAUAAGACUGGGAUAACAUUCGGAAACGAAUGCUAAUACCGAAUAUGCAUUUUUGAUCGCAUGAUCGAAAUGGGAAAGACGGAGCAAUCUGUCACUUAUAGAUGGACCCGCGGCGCAUUAGCUAGUUGGUGAGGUAACGGCUCACCAAGGCGACGAUGCGUAGCCGACCUGAGAGGGUGAUCGGCCACACUGGGACUGAGACACGGCCCAGACUCCUACGGGAGGCAG
RNAcentral lists this ribosomal RNA (340 nucleotides) under uncultured Bacillota bacterium. RNAcentral's name for it is "bacterial SSU rRNA". It matches the Rfam family "Bacterial small subunit ribosomal RNA", at positions 28 to 351 of the family's 1533-position model. The record is from RNAcentral. Lineage: Bacteria; Bacillati; Bacillota.